Eriocheir sinensis (Chinese mitten crab) is the source of this 1639-nucleotide long non-coding RNA. RefSeq lists it as uncharacterized. Lineage: Eukaryota; Metazoa; Arthropoda; Malacostraca; Decapoda; Varunidae. The transcript has 3 exons. The record is from RefSeq and is a predicted model, not a curated record.
AAGACUCUAAUAUUUUCUCUAUUGUACAAACACGAAAGCAUGAAUUUUAAGUCCCUCCCUCUAUGUUUCUUGCUUAUGAGAUCAACGUAUAAGUAAAGUAAGGUGUGUCAUCAGAAGGUAGAUUCUCAUACACCAAAACAAAGACUCUAAUAUUUUCUCUAUUGUACAAACACGAAAGCAUGAAUUUUAAGUCCCUCCCUCUAUGUUUCUUGCUUAUGAGAUCAGCGAACAGGUAAAGUAAGGUGUGUCAUCAGAAGGUAGAUUCUCAUACACCAAAACAAAGACUAAUAUUUUCUCUAUCGUACAAACACAAACACGUCAAUUUAAAGUCCCUUCCUCUCUGUUUCUUGCUUAUGAGACCAAUGUACAGGUAAAGUAAGGUGUGUCAUCAGAAGGUAGAUUCUCAUACACCAAAACAAACUCUAAUAUUUUCUCUAUCGCACAAACACAAACAUGUCAAUUUUAAGUCCCUUCCUCUAUGUUUCUUGCUUAUGAGACCAAUGUACAGGUAAAGUAAGGUGUGUCAUCAGAAGGUAGAUUCUCAUACACCAAAACAAAGACUCUAAUAUUUUCUCUAUCGUACAAACACGAAAGCAUGAAUUUAAAGUCCCUCCCUCUAUGUUUCUUGCUUAUGAGACCAAUGUACAGGUAAAGUAAGGUGUGUCAUCAGAAGGUAGAUUCUCAUACACCAAAACAAAGACUAAUAUUUUCUCUAUCAUACAAACACAAACACGUCAAUUUUAAGUCCCUUCCUCUAUGUUUCUUGCUUAUGAGACCAAUGUACAGGUAAAGUAAGGUGUCAUCAGAAGGUAUAUUCUCAUUCACCAAAACAAAGACUAAUAUUUUCUCUAUCAUACAAACACAAACACGUCAAUUUUAAGUCCCUUCCUCUAUGUUUCUUGCUUAUGAGACCAAUGUACAGGUAAAGUAAGGUGUGUCAUCAGAAGGUAGAUUCUCAUACACCAAAACAAAGACUAAUAUUUUCUCUAUCAUACAAACACAAACACAUCAAUUUUAAGUCCCUUCCUCUGUGUUUCUUGCUUAUGAGAUCAACAAACAGGUAAAGUGAGGUAAGAAGUUAGAUUCUCAUACACCAAAACAAAGACUAAUAUUUUCUCUAUCAUACAAACACAAACACGUCAAUUUAAAGUCCCUUCCUCUAUGUUUCUUGCUUAUGAGACCAACGAACAGGUAAAGUAAGGUGUGUCAUCAGGAGGAGCAUAAUACCAUAAGAUUGCCAUACACCAAAAACAAGGACUCAAUACAACAUUUUUCUCUAUCACAUAAACACAAACGCAUGAAUUCAACAGACCGUUUCUCUGCCGCUGUUUCUUAUGUGAUCAAUAAAGAGGUGUUAUGAGGUGCACAUCGGAGGAGGCACACUGAUGGAUUGGUGUAUACAUAAUUUAUCUCAUCAAUAGUUCACCUGUAUUGAUUUGUCCUCGGAAACACACACACACACACACACACACAUUUUCAGUCUGGUCGUCAAUAUGGGAGUGUGAGUUGAAUGCCCUGGGUGUGGGAAUGCUGCCUAACCAACAGCAGCGAGUAGCGGGCUUUUUUUUUUUAUUAAUGUUUACUUUUUUGUGCCCUUGAGCUGUCUCCUUUGCUGUAAAAAAAAAAAAAAAAAAAAAAA